Molecule: non-coding RNA, 140 nt
Filed under: Nosema bombycis CQ1
Lineage: Eukaryota; Fungi; Microsporidia; Nosematidae
Description: Microsporidia small subunit ribosomal RNA
Rfam family: Microsporidia small subunit ribosomal RNA
Source: Rfam by way of RNAcentral
AGCUCGGUACCCUUUGUAACACCGCCCGUCGCUAUCUAAGAUGGUAUAUCUAUGAACAAUUUAUAAAGUGAAUAGAUAGUACUAGAUCUGAUAUAAGUCGUAACAUGGUUGCUGUUGGAGAACCAUUAGCAGGAUCAUAA